Molecule: long non-coding RNA, 231 nt
Organism: Xiphophorus couchianus (Monterrey platyfish)
Lineage: Eukaryota; Metazoa; Chordata; Actinopteri; Cyprinodontiformes; Poeciliidae
Exons: 3
Source: RefSeq, a predicted model, not a curated record
CCACGAUGCCGGCGCCGAUCGAGUCUCCCAGGACGUUGGUGGUGGUCCGAAGGCGGUCCCUGACCGGAGAGACGGGUUCUGGUCAGAUCUGUCAUUACACCAGGCUGUAAAGAGAAACCCUGCAGGUUGUAAGAAGUGCUGAUGAAGACGAGGUCAAACGUUGUUCAUCUGAACUCACUGACCUGCUGUGUGCAGGCCUGGACCAGGUUUGGAGGGAACAUGUUUCUGAAA